This 497-nucleotide ribosomal RNA is filed under the name uncultured bacterium. RNAcentral's name for it is "partial 16S ribosomal RNA". It matches the Rfam family "Bacterial small subunit ribosomal RNA", at positions 28 to 507 of the family's 1533-position model. The record is from RNAcentral.
GAUGAACGCUGGCGGCGUGCCUAAUACAUGCAAGUCGAGCGAACGGACGAGAAGCUUGCUUCUCUGAUGUUAGCGGCGGACGGGUGAGUAACACGUGGAUAACCUACCUAUAAGACUGGGAUAACUUCGGGAAACCGGAGCUAAUACCGGAUAAUAUUUUGAACCGCGUGGUUCAAAAGUGAAAGACGGUCUUGCUGUCACUUAUAGCUGGAUCCGCGCUGCAUUAGCUAGUUGGUAAGGUAACGGCUUACCAAGGCAACGAUGCAUAGCCGACCUGAGAGGGUGAUCGGCCACACUGGAACUGAGACACGGUCCAGACUCCUACGGGAGGCAGCAGUAGGGAAUCUUCCGCAAUGGGCGAAAGCCUGACGGAGCAACGCCGCGUGAGUGAUGAAGGUCUUCGGAUCGUAAAACUCUGUUAUUAGGGAAGAACAUAUGUGUAAGUAACUGUGCACAUCUUGACGGUACCUAAUCAGAAAGCCACGGCUAACUACGUG